Molecule: non-coding RNA, 2152 nt
Organism: Doryrhamphus excisus (bluestripe pipefish)
Lineage: Eukaryota; Metazoa; Chordata; Actinopteri; Syngnathiformes; Syngnathidae
Source: RefSeq, a predicted model, not a curated record
UCAAAUCAAACAACGUCUCUAAGUGCAGCAGAACUUACGAUGUCAGCCUAUCAUCCAUCCCCGUUACUUGAUUGACAUACAGGACAACCAGUCAGAUGACAACUGAAUUUUGACCUUUAGGUCACCGCUCAUGCGUAAACAACGAUGCAAAGUGCUAAGCUAGUCGGCGAAUUGCGUCAGAUUUUAAGACCUCGAUAAAGUUUAUGGUCACUAAAAUGAGUGAAGUAGCUGGACCAAGUAAAAAGGCAAAAACAUAUCACUUCCAUACGGAAUGGGAGGUGGACUUCUUUUUUUCACAAGGUCUUUUUCGAAGUGCGUUUGCCUGGCUAACCUGGCUAUCAGCAGCUACUGUCCGGACUAUGCAUCCCUGGCUGAUUCAAUUCAGUGCAAGUCAUCAAAGUAAACUCAGCCUGCGUGGACCUGUCUCAUUACGUCCAUCUCAACGAGUCACUCAGCUGAAAUCUGGAAGAGGGGGUGGGGAGCAGGUUAUACAAGGACAGAUCAUCGAUCUGUCCUUUGGGUUCCUCGGAGGCCCUUCGCUCACUGCCGACAUGUCUGCGAUUAGCUCGUCACUCUCCACAUUUCUGGAGCAGAACUAAUCACUGCUGCAGAGGAGACUCGGCCCAACGCUACCCGCGCAUGACCGUCUUGUCUGAUCAACGCAUACGCUAGACAGGAAGUUUGAUUUUCUAUGCAGACUGUUUCUGCUGUGUGGGUUGUUGUGUUUGUCAUUGAUCAACGAGACUGACUAACUCAAUAAAGACAUAAAUAUUCAACUUUAUUAACAGCUUUAGAUCGGCGCAUCCAUCCCGAGGUCUCUUUGAUUUUCUGUUCAAUAAAGAUGAAAUAAAAUGAACAGUAAUGUGAGGCAGCAUUGGGUAAACAUUCUAUAAAAUAUUAUGAUUUGAAUUACACACUGGACUGUUUGGACACCAAACGUCUUCAGCUACGGACUUGCUUAGAUGCUCAAUGCUGUAGUGUUCAAACGGAACACAGGGUUAUAUAAAUGAGGGUGGGCUCACUAUUACUCCAAUGCUGUUCACAAACAAUAGAACGUGACGAUUCUUCACCUUUUGUUAACUUUAUUGACACGCUAAAACCAAAUAAAGGUAGGUCAAAAUGUAAUAUUUACUUCACAUAUACAGUAGAACCUUGGUUAGUGUCAUUAAUUCCUUCCGUAAGGUCCGACUGUAACCAAAACUGAUGUUAACUGAAUACAUUUUUCUUAUAAAAGAAAUAAUGUAAAUGAACAUAUUUAUCAAUUAGUCAGUUUUCAGAAAGCCAAAGCAAGAUCAACCACCACCACCAUAGCGACGUAACUUCCGGUUCGGGUUGCCAUUUUGUAAGCUAGCGAAUGGAAUGCAAGGAAGGGUGUCUUGUGAUAAAAAUAAAUAAAUAAAUGAAGAACACAGUUGGACUCACGCAGUGGAUUAACAAAACAAGUUGCAUGUGCGCUAACCUGAAAAUGAACGCAAACCAAGGCAAAGGUGUGGCAUACAGUUUCUAUGUUAACCAAAAAACAUGCUAACCGAGGUACACGCUAACCGAGAUUCCAUUUGACAGUCAAACACCCCAGUUUUUGUAUGAUUUACUUUUCAUUGACAAAUCUUCACCAAAAUCCUGUCUUGGUUUUCGUACAGUCGCUGCUUUUGAACAAAAACCAAUUGUUCUGAAUACUAUAUUAAAUUUUGUGUUUAAAAUGUGCCACAGCCCAAUUAAAAAUGAAAUGCAGGCCCCAGGACCGGACAUUGACUACAGUCAUAAAUGUACAGUAUUGAGCCAUCUGGUACACCUACAGCAAGUAUAAAAAUAUAAAGAAUAACUUGCUCCAUAUACUUUCCGCCUAUUCAUGCUAUUAAUUUUGCAACAACAGCUGUUUUUCCCCUCGGUGAAGCCUCGUCACUAACAUUAGCGCCUAAUGUACUUUAUUCCCAGCAAACAUCUUCCUUUGAAAGUCAUUUAUAUUUGGCGCUAUUAAAUAUUGACUCUUUAUUUAAAUAUUUUACCACAAAUAAUGAGCGCUCUUGACCUCUUGUAUUUAAAUUUAAUCACCAUAUGCAGAAUUCAUUAGCUGCAUUUUCCCCUAGUCUGUCUUCUUAUAUAAUUGAAAGAAUUGGCCAAAAUAGGAAAAACCUACAAAUGAAGCAUUUUC